GAUGAACGCUAGCGGCAGGCUUAACACAUGCAAGUCGAGGGGCAGCGCGGGGCGGCAACGUCCUGGCGGCGACCGGCGGAAGGGUGCGUAACGCGUGAGCGACAUGCCCGUUGCCCGGGGACAACCGGUGGAAACGCCGACUAAUCCCCGAUGGGACGGAGGCCCUCAUGGGUCUCUGUUGAAAGUUACGGCGGCGACGGAUUGGCUCGCGUCCGAUUAGCUUGUUGGCGGGGUAACGGCCCACCAAGGCUACGAUCGGUAGGGGUUCUGAGAGGAAGGUCCCCCACAAUGGAACUGAGACACGGUCCAUACUCCUACGGGAGGCAGCAGUGAGGAAUAUUGGUCAAUGGGCGGAAGCCUGAACCAGCCAUGCCGCGUGCGGGAAGGAGGCCCUAUGGGCUGUGAACCGCUUUUGCCUGGGGGCAAUAAGGGCGUCGUGCACGUCCGAUGAGAGUACCAGGCGAAUAAGCAUCGGCUAACUCCGUGCCAGCAGCCGCGGUAAUACGGGGGAUGCGAGCGUUAUCCGGAUUCAUUGGGUUUAAAGGGUGCGUAGGCUGUGCGUCAAGUCAGGGGUGAAAUUCCGGGGCUCAACUCCGGGGCUGCCCUUGAUACUGUCGCGCUGGAGUGCGGAUGCCGCCGGAGGAAUGAGUGGUGUAGCGGUGAAAUGCUUAGAUAUCACUCAGAACACCGAUUGCGAAGGCAUCUGGCGAAUCCGUAACUGACGCUGAGGCACGAAAGCGUGGGGAUAGAACAGGAUUAGAUACCCUGGUAUUCCACGCCGUAAACGAUGAUGGCUAACCGCCGGCGACACACUGUCGGUGGCCAAGCGAAAGCGAUAAGCCAUCCACCUGGGGAGUACGUCGGCAACGAUGCAACUCAAAGGAAUUGACGG
Molecule: ribosomal RNA, 892 nt
Filed under: uncultured Bacteroidota bacterium
Lineage: Bacteria; Pseudomonadati; Bacteroidota
Also listed under: 1 other name
Description: bacterial SSU rRNA
Rfam family: Bacterial small subunit ribosomal RNA
Source: RNAcentral